Molecule: ribosomal RNA, 465 nt
Filed under: uncultured bacterium
Lineage: Bacteria
Description: partial 16S ribosomal RNA
Rfam family: Bacterial small subunit ribosomal RNA
Source: RNAcentral
GACGAACGCUGGCGGCGUGCUUAACACAUGCAAGUCGAACGGAAAGGCCCCUUUGGGGGUACUCGAGUGGCGAACGGGUGAGUAACACGUGAGUAACCUGCCCUUGACUUCGGGAUAACUUCAGUAAACUGGGGCUAAUACCGGAUAGGAAUCCUUGCUGCAUGGUGGGGGUUGGAAAGCUUCGUCGGUUUUGGAUGGACUCGCGGCUUAUCAGCUUGUUGGUGGGGUAGUGGCUUACCAAGGCUUUGACGGGUAGCCGGCCUGAGAGGGCGACCGGCCACAUUGGGACUGAGAUACGGCCCAGACUCCUACGGGAGGCAGAAGUGGGGAAGAUUGCACAAUGGGCGGAAGCCUGAUGCAGAAACGCCGCGUGCGGGAUGACGGCCUUCGGGUUGUAAACCGCUUUCAGCAGGGGCGAAGCUUGUGGUGACGGUACCUGCAGAAGAAGCACCGGCUAACUACGUG